Vespa velutina is the source of this 558-nucleotide long non-coding RNA. RefSeq lists it as uncharacterized. Lineage: Eukaryota; Metazoa; Arthropoda; Insecta; Hymenoptera; Vespidae. The record is from RefSeq and is a predicted model, not a curated record. The transcript is spliced from 3 exons.
UACAUAGUUUAGAAACUGAUAAUAUAAUAUACGAUCUUAUAAAUUCAUUUUCUGGAUAAACGUAGAUUUAUUACAAUUACGCAAUCUCUUUGUUAAUAUCUUUUUUGUUUGUUUGCUUUGUUUUUUUUCUUUCUUUUUUUUUUUUUAGAUCGAUCAAAGUCAACCGAUCGAUUCUGUAGAUCAUCGCUCGGCAAAUAUUACGAACGAGUCUGACAGUCCUGCAUUGCGUUCCUUCUUGAAGAAUAUCUUGAAAGCUCGAGACGAAUUGAAGUGGAUAGAUCGGGCUGCGAAUCGUUUAAAUGAUCCAAAUCGUUUGUACGGAACGAAUAAAGAUGUCGACGAGAGAAAAGAAUCAAUGAAAGAUCAAUGGCCUUCGAAUGAUCUUCGUUUUACUUUGAACGAUCGCUUGAAUUCUAAUAAGUAUAAUCAAUACGAAAGGGAUAACGAAGAGAAUCGAUGGACUCGUAAUUAUGGAGUUCCACGUACGAACAACGACGAUUCAGAUGUCAAGAUGAUCUAUAACCAAGACAAAAGAGAAUCCACGGACACCGAUGCAUC